This 467-nucleotide ribosomal RNA is filed under the name uncultured bacterium. RNAcentral's name for it is "partial 16S ribosomal RNA". It matches the Rfam family "Bacterial small subunit ribosomal RNA", at positions 28 to 506 of the family's 1533-position model. The record is from RNAcentral.
GACGAACGCUGGCGGCGUGCUUAACACAUGCAAGUCGAACGGAAAGGCCCUGCUUUUGUGGGGUGCUCGAGUGGCGAACGGGUGAGUAACACGUGAGUAACCUGCCCUUGACUUUGGGAUAACUUCAGGAAACUGGGGCUAAUACCGGAUAGGAGCUCCUGCUGCAUGGUGGGGGUUGGAAAGUUUCGGCGGUUGGGGAUGGACUCGCGGCUUAUCAGCUUGUUGGUGGGGUAGUGGCUUACCAAGGCUUUGACGGGUAGCCGGCCUGAGAGGGUGACCGGCCACAUUGGGACUGUGAUACGGCCCAGACUCCUACGGGAGGCAGCAGUGGGGAAUAUUGCACAAUGGGCGGAAGCCUGAUGCAGCAACGCCGCGUGCGGGAUGACGGCCUUCGGGUGGUAAACCGCUUUCGCCUGUGACGAAGCGUGAGUGACGGUAAUGGGUAAAGAAGCACCGGCUAACUACGU